Molecule: RNA transcript, 1094 nt
Organism: Coregonus clupeaformis (lake whitefish)
Lineage: Eukaryota; Metazoa; Chordata; Actinopteri; Salmoniformes; Salmonidae
Exons: 6
Source: RefSeq, a predicted model, not a curated record
CUGGAUAAGAGCGUCUGCUAAAUGACGUAAAUGUAAAUGUAAAUUUAAUUAUGAACUUUCUAGACCCCUAUGAUUGGGGCCUGGCCCUUUACAAAAGCAUUUUCAAUUCUGGUUGCUUUAGGUUUGCUUUGCAACUGUUCUUACACUGUUCCCACAUAGUUUAUAGUGUAAUUAAAACCAAACAGAUUUAUGUUAAAUUAUUUUCGUCACAGCUGAUCUUGAUGUCUUUGUAAGGCCCUCUUCUGGUUCUCUGUCAUGGUGUUAUCAGUGCUGUUAUGUCUGCAGUUUGGUCAUUGUCCUUCAACAGAUUAUAAUGUCGAUGAACAUGGCGUCCGACAUCAGUCCAGCAGGGGGGGGUAGGAGGGCAAAAUACCACUACGGUGGGAGGAAGUAAACCCCUGCACCGCUUCAUGAGAGGGGAGCCCAAGAGUAUUGGGAUUGUAAUGCUGUUCAUGGGAUCAUCACUCUUCAUCUUGGGGAUUCCCAUGAGGCUGGAUACAUUGACGUCCUCUGCGGACACUUUCACCGCUUUUUGGCUAGGAAUCCUGUUCAUCAUCCCUGGGUUGUUAUAUGUGCUCGCAGAGAAUAAUCCUUCAAAACAACUGGUGACAGCAAGCCUGGCCCUUAGUAUCAUCUCUAUGUUGGGGGUCACAGUCGCUUUCUUUGAAUUCCUUAAAGGCAUCGUGGAAAUGCGGCACGUAUAUGACUACUAUGAUCAUUACCAUUAUGACAACAACAUCACAGAAUCUGCCAGAGUUGUAGUUUCUGUCCCCUGGCGUAAACAACAUAUGUACCAGUUGAUCAGCCUUGAGGCUGUAUUCAUGUACCAGAGCUUAGUAGGCAUGGUGCUCCUAAUUGUGAUGACAACAUUUGCCAGGGUUGCCCUGCGGUCCAGUAUGACACAGGCAAUUGUGGUAAUUCAAGAUCUACCAUCACCAGACUGAAUAAAGAAAACAAGCCUUUUCUGACUGUCUCUGCCAUGAUGGAUGGAUAGAAAACUUGGACUUGCACAUUGAUAUAAAAUAUAUGUAUUCACCAAUAUGUAGAAAAUUUCUUUAAAUCCACAUAUAUGGAAAUGUCUUUGUAUACACUCA